GACGAACGCUGGCGGCGUGCUUAACACAUGCAAGUCGAACGGUGAAGCGCCUUCCUUUUUGGUGGGUGUGGAUGAGUGGCGAACGGGUGAGUAACACGUGAGUAACCUGCCCCCUUCUUCUGGAUAACCGCAUGAAAGUGUGGCUAAUACGGGAUAUUCUGGGUCUGUCGCAUGAUGGGUGUGGGACAGAUAUUGUUUCGGUUGUGGAUGGGGUCGCGGCCUAUCAGCUUGUUGGUGGGGUGAUGGCCUACCAAGGCGGUGACGCGUAGCCGGCCUGAGAGGGUGGACGGUCACACUGGGACUGAGAGACGGACCAGACUCCGACGGGAGGCAGCAGGGGGGAAUAUGGCACAAUGGGCGCCAGCCUGAUGCAGCGACGCCGCGUGAGGGAUGGAGGCCUUCGGGUUGUGAACCUCUUUCGCCAGUGAAGAAGGCCGGCCUCGUUUGUGGGUGGGUUGACGGUAGCUGGAUAAGAAGCGCCGGCUAACUACGUG
This 494-nucleotide ribosomal RNA is filed under the name uncultured bacterium. RNAcentral's name for it is "partial 16S ribosomal RNA". It matches the Rfam family "Bacterial small subunit ribosomal RNA", at positions 28 to 507 of the family's 1533-position model. The record is from RNAcentral.